This 477-nucleotide ribosomal RNA is filed under the name uncultured bacterium. RNAcentral's name for it is "partial 16S ribosomal RNA". It matches the Rfam family "Bacterial small subunit ribosomal RNA", at positions 29 to 507 of the family's 1533-position model. The record is from RNAcentral.
ACGAACGCUGGCGGCGUGCUUAACACAUGCAAGUCGAACGGGAUUUAGUAAACAGAAACCUCGGUGGAAGAUUACUAAUGAGAGUGGCGAACGGGUGAGUAACGCGUGAGCAACCUGCCUAUGACAGUGGGAUAGCCUCGGGAAACCGGGAUUAAUACCGCAUAAAAUCGUAGAAACACAUGUUUUAACGGUCAAAGAUUUAUCGGUCAUAGAUGGGCUCGCGUCUGAUUAGCUAGUUGGUGAGAUAACAGCCCACCAAGGCGACGAUCAGUAGCCGGUCUGAGAGGAUGAACGGCCACAUUGGAACUGAGACACGGUCCAAACUCCUACGGGAGGCAGCAGUGGGGAAUAUUGCACAAUGGGGGAAACCCUGAUGCAGCGACGCCGCGUGAACGAAGAAGGUAUUCGUAUCGUAAAGUUCUGUCCUAUGGGAAGAUAAUGACAGUACCAUAGAAGAAAGCUCCGGCUAAAUACGUG